CCUACGGGCGGCAGCAGUGAGGAAUAUUUGUCAAUGGCCGCAAGCCUGAACCAGCCAAGUCGCGUGAAGGAUGACUGCCCUACGGGUUGUAAACUUCUUUUAUCAGGGACUAAAGUGGUCCCCGUGUGCCUUUUUGUAUGUACUUUAUGAAAAAGAAUCGGCUAACUCCGUGCCAGCAGCCGCGGUAAUCCGGAGGAUCCGAGCGUUAUCCGGAUUUCUUGGGUUUAAAGGUGGCGUAGAUGGGAUGUGAAGUAAGGUGUGAAAGUUUCCGGAUAAACCGUAAAAGUGCAAUUGAUACUGGCAGUCUUGAGUACAGUUGAGGUAGGCGGAAUUCGUGGUGUAGCGGUGAAAUGCUUAGAUAUCACGAAGAACUCCGAUUGCGAAGGCAGCUUACGAAACUGCGACUGACACUGAUGCUCGAAAGUGUGGGUAUCAAACAGGAUUAGAUACCCGAGUAGUC
Molecule: ribosomal RNA, 460 nt
Filed under: uncultured bacterium
Lineage: Bacteria
Description: partial 16S ribosomal RNA
Rfam family: Bacterial small subunit ribosomal RNA
Source: RNAcentral